RNAcentral lists this unclassified non-coding RNA (1572 nucleotides) under Venturia canescens. RNAcentral's name for it is "uncharacterized protein DDB_G0290587-like, transcript variant X3". The record is from RNAcentral. Lineage: Eukaryota; Metazoa; Arthropoda; Insecta; Hymenoptera; Ichneumonidae.
UUCAAGCUGUGUGAUUGACACGUUGCUGAGAUUUGAAAUUAAGUAAUUUUCCAAAUAUUUUCACCGCGCAUUGAAGAUGGAGACAGUUCGUUACGUUGCUGUUUUUAUCGUGGUCCUUGGUGUCGUUAUGGAUGACCGACAUUCAGCAAGAAGCAAAGACGUUAUUAUAACGCAUUCGCCUCCGAUCCUGACCCGAGAUUUCAAGCCGAUCACCACAGCCAAAGACGAGUGUAGGAAAUUAAUAAAUAAAAAUUGGAAGGAGAUGCAAGACACGUUCAAAUAUUAUCAUACAAAGGAAAAAACGCCUGGAGAUUUCAAGGCUGGUAAAAAGUUACUGUCGACAAAUGCAACGCGAGAUAUAAAAGCUCUCCUUGUAACGGUGAAAAAUGAAGCAGGCCCAAAAGACUACGUAUUCAUGUCAGUUAUGCCUAAGCUUACGAUAUCUUGCAGCCAAGAAGUCGUAAACAAAAUGCUUGAUAUCAAAGACAAGUACUAUUUGUCACUUCCUCCUACUACUACUACUACUACGACUACCACCACCCCCAAGACUCCCACCAACACCACCACCACACCACGACUACGACCACCAUCGCUGUCCAAGUCUCCCACCAACACCACCACCAUCCCCAAGACUCCCACCAACACCACCACCACACCACCACUACGACUGCCACCAUCGCUGUCCAAGUCUCCCACCAACACCACCACCAUCCCCAAGACUCCCACCAACACCACCACCACACCACGACUACGACCACCAUCGCUGUCCAAGUCUCCCACCAACACCACCACCAUCCCCAAGACUCCCACCAACACCACCACCACACCACCACUACGACUGCCACCAUCGCUGUCCAAGUCUCCCACCAACACCACCACCAUCCCCAAGACUCCCACCAACACCACCACCACACCACCACUACGACUGCCACCAUCGCUGUCCAAGUCUCCCACCAACACCACCACCAUCCCCAAGACUCCCACCAACACCACCACCACACCACGACUACGACCACCAUCGCUGUCCAAGUCUCCCACCAACACCACCACCAUCCCCAAGACUCCCACCAACACCACCACCACACCACCACUACGACUGCCACCAUCGCUGUCCAAGUCUCCCACCAACACCACCACCAUCCCCAAGACUCCCACCAAUACCACCACCACACCACCACUACCACCGCCACCAUCGCUGUCCAAGUCUCCCACCAACACCACCACCAUCCCCAAGACUCCCACCAACACCACCACCACACCACCACUACCACCGCCGCCAUCGCUGUCCAAGUCUCCCACCAACACCACCACCAUCCCCAAGAUUCCCGCCAAAACCACCACCACACCACCGCUACCACCGCCGCCACCGCUGUCCAAGCCUUAAAAUGCUACGUUCUGGACAAUUAUAACAAGCGUGAUGUUCAUCAUUAGUACCGAUUGGGUCUUCCCUUCAUCCAUGCGAGUUCCAUGUCAACUUUUUCCUCCUCUUUUCCCCAAACACUGCAUUUGUCUGCAGGAUUCAUCGGGCUACCCACAGGACAAUUGAACGCUUCGGCGAAGCCUUUCGAGUUG